Molecule: ribosomal RNA, 459 nt
Filed under: uncultured bacterium
Lineage: Bacteria
Description: partial 16S ribosomal RNA
Rfam family: Bacterial small subunit ribosomal RNA
Source: RNAcentral
CCUACGGGUGGCAGCAGUGAGGAAUAUUGGUCAAUGGCCGGAAGGCUGAACCAGCCAAGCCGCGUGAGGGAGGAAGGCGCAGAGCGUCGCAGACCUCUUUUGCCGGGGGACAAAAGGCCGGACUCGUCCGGUCCUGAGGGUACCCGGAGAAAAAGCAUCGGCGAACUCCGUGCCAGCAGCCGCGGUAAUACGGAGGAUGCGAGCGUUAUCCGGAUUCAUUGGGUUUAAAGGGUGCGCAGGGGGGCCUUUAAGCCGGCGGGGAAAUCGCGGGGCUCAACCCCGCCGAGGCGUCGGAACUGGGGGGCUGGAGUGCGGGAGAGGCAUGCGGAAUGCGCGGUGUAGCGGUGAAAUGCAUAGAUAUCGCGCAGAACCCCGAUUGCGAAGGCAGCGGGCCGUGCCGCCACUGACGCUGAGGCACGAAAGCGCGGGGAUCGAACAGGAUUAGAUACCCUUGUAGUC